Molecule: ribosomal RNA, 352 nt
Filed under: uncultured bacterium
Lineage: Bacteria
Description: bacterial SSU rRNA
Rfam family: Bacterial small subunit ribosomal RNA
Source: RNAcentral
AGAGUUUGAUCCUGGCUCAGGAUGAACGCUAGCUACAGGCUUAACACAUGCAAGUCGAGGGGAAACGACAUCGAAAGCUUGCUUUUGAUGGGCGUCGACCGGCGCACGGGUGAGUAACGCGUAUCCAACCUGCCCAUCACUUGGGGAUAACCUUGCGAAAGUAAGACUAAUACCCAAUGACGUCUCUAGAAGACAUCUGAAAGAGAUUAAAGAUUUAUCGGUGAUGGAUGGGGAUGCGUCUGAUUAGCUUGUUGGCGGGGUAACGCCACCAAGGCGACGAUCAGUAGGGGUUCUGGAGAGGAAGUCCCCCCANAUUGGAACUGAGACACGGUCCAAACUCCUACGGGAGGCA